UUCUACUCCACAUUUUUUCUCAAACUCACUGGCGGCGGCGGCGGCGGCGGCGACCGCGCGGCCGGUGGCAACGGCGGUCUCGUCCACGCAAGCGCAAGAUUCCACCCUGUCCUCGUCCCUUAUCCGAGCUGCCGGAGACUCCGCGCCCCGUCUUCAUCCCGCAUCGGCGCUAGCGACGGCCAUGACUCCCCGCCCCAUCUUCAUCCCGCAUCGGCGCUGGCGGUGGCAAGUACUCCCCGCCCCGUCUUCGUCCCGCAUCGGCGCCGGUGGCGGCCCCGCCCUAUCUCCCUACGCAUCGGCGCCGCCCACGAUUCCCCGCGCCGUUUCCGUCCCGCAUCGGCGUGGCCCCCGCGCGAGGAAUAGCCACCGGCCGGCAGGGUGGGUCUGCGCCGGCAACAGGCGGCGGCAGCAGCAGCCCGAUCCGGUCCGGCCGGAUUGGGGCAGGGCUUCAUUGCGCGGCCGGUAAACUUGCAGCCGCAUGAUAUCUCAUUAGCUCCGUCCUCUCGUGCUUGUGCAGGUGGAUUUGGAGCACAAUCAAUAUAGGUCAUUUCAAGGUUUGACCUGCUUGAUGCAGAUUUCAACCAGAACAGAAGACUUUAUUGUGACACUCUUAAGCUCCGCAUAUACAUUAGUCUCUACUUGCAAGAACCUUUUAAAGAUCCAACCAAGAGAAAGGUUUUGAAGAACUCAUCAGUAGUUUCUGUCUAUACGCACUCAGAUUUCUGGUUGCUAAUUUGUUCUUCGUGAAAUAGGUAAUACAUGGUGUGGAUCGUGAUAUAAUGUGGCUCCAACGGGAUUUCCACAUUUACAUAUGCAAUUUUUUGACACAGGACAGUUAAUUUUCAAACAAGGACCAAUAAUCCCAUGAAAAGGCCAUGCACUUUGCUUCUUUCCGUAUUCUCCUCGAAACACUCAUCUCAAUGUUUAAUAGACUGAAGCUUGGUCUUUCUUUCCAAACUUAAUCAGGCUUCAAGGGUCUUACGGAUGGAGAGAAACAGCCUAGAAUACCUAUUGGUUCGCUUUUGUGGAGUGACAGCAAAGGAAUAUUAAAAUGCAGACUGGAGGUCGAGGCCACUUCCUGAUGAAAUGAUCAAGUAAUGUGCACUCUGGUAAACAAAUUUGUCUGCUUCUGGAAAGUGUUCGAACGCAAUUCAGUGACGUGGUGAUCAUUGUGAUAGAGCAGGCAUGUAUCUAUACUAGUUUGAUCUAAAGAAUGCAAAUAUAAAUGAACUCAAGUUAUAAAUGAAGAAGUAAUAGAGAAUCGAAGAUUAAAGCACUGGGCCGGUUUGUGGUGCUCGUUGAUGUAUUGGUUGUGGAAGGGGUUUUGGAAUUGUUCAUUUGUAGCUGCAUAGUUGUUAGGUUCAGUGGUGUGAUUUUAAGUAAUGCAGAUAGAAUAAUAUGUCCU
This is a long non-coding RNA of Setaria italica (foxtail millet), 1405 nucleotides long. RefSeq lists it as uncharacterized. The record is from RefSeq and is a predicted model, not a curated record. Lineage: Eukaryota; Viridiplantae; Streptophyta; Magnoliopsida; Poales; Poaceae. The transcript is spliced from 3 exons.